UACGAAGGGUGCUAGCGUUACUCGGAAUUACUGGGCGUAAAGAGCGCGUAGGCGGUCUCUUAAGUUGGAAGUGAAAUCCCAUAGCUCAACUAUGGAAAUGCUUUCAAGACUGAGAGACUAGAGAAUGGUAGAGGGUAGUGGAAUUCCUGGUGUAGAGGUGAAAUUCGUAGAUAUCAGGAGGAACACCGGUGGCGAAGGCGGCUGCCUGGACCAUUUCUGACGCUGUGGCGCGAAAGCGUGGGAGCAAACAGG
RNAcentral lists this ribosomal RNA (252 nucleotides) under uncultured bacterium. RNAcentral's name for it is "partial 16S ribosomal RNA". It matches the Rfam family "Bacterial small subunit ribosomal RNA", at positions 524 to 776 of the family's 1533-position model. The record is from RNAcentral.